RNAcentral lists this non-coding RNA (95 nucleotides) under Nocardioides sp. RNAcentral describes it as "Glycine sequence". It matches the Rfam family "Glycine riboswitch aptamer". Rfam says of the family: This family represents the bacterial glycine riboswitch. Glycine riboswitches usually consist of two metabolite-binding aptamers domains with similar structures in tandem. The aptamers cooperatively bind glycine to regulate the expression of downstream genes. The record is from RNAcentral. RNAcentral also lists the same sequence under 1 other name. Lineage: Bacteria; Bacillati; Actinomycetota; Actinomycetes; Propionibacteriales; Nocardioidaceae.
CACUCCCGCACGGGAGAGUCCCCGGGCCCGGCCCGGGGCGCCGAAGGGGCAAUUCCUCCCCGGAACCUCUCAGGCCUCAGGACCGUGCGGGUCAG